UUCAUGUCAAUAUAUCUUACGACUCCAUAGCUCUAUCAACCUCCAGGACAAGUUUCUGUUGUUCUCUCGAUCUCCAUCCAUCAAACUUGGUUGAACCUACCACGCUGCCCAAUCGAGCAACGGCUGUCACGAGCAGCGCAUCCUCCUCCACAUCUUCUCUGUAUCAGGUCUCUAUUAGCGUCGUUCUCAGUUUUUGAGGCCGUCGCUGCAGGAUAGCGCAACCACUUAUUCUUUCUUUUCUCUCUUGCAGAUUCAUGUUUCUUAUUUCUCUUGCAGAUCCAAGUUCCCCUCCUCCGCUUAUUCCUUCUUUUCUAUCUUGCAGAUUCAUGUUUCUUAUCUCUAUUGCAGAUCUAAGUUCGCCUCCUUCUCCCCUUACAGGUGCCACCGCUUCCUAUAUUCUCCAACUUUUCUCGCAGAGAAUCAGAUGGCAAUCUGUGCAAGCAUAUGUCGCUGCUGCUAGCACGAGUUGAGUGUAAUUUUCUUGGGAUGAAUUAGACAAUGCCAAGCACAUCUGGCUUCCAGAGACGAGGAAUAUUUAGUCAGCGACUAAUCAUGGUAGUCAUGCCCUCUAGGUGGAAAUAAUAGAAACAACAAUAGUCGACUCAGGUGGUAUCAAGCUUGAUCAUGAAAUCUUUGAAAGUAUAAACACCAUUCUUGCAUGUGUGUGAACUUACACGCAAACUCACCCAAGGUGCCAGGUUGCUUUGUAUGUGUUGACUUCUACCCAGCUGCUGAGAUGAACUUCGAUCCAAGACGUUUCAACUUUUUAUAAAGAUGGUUCAAAUAUAUUUUCCCAAAAAGGUCGUCUACCAUCUUCUGCUAUGCAUGCAUUAGUAGUCGUCGUAAUUUAGUUCACCAACUUACAGGAUUUGUGAAGCAUUCUAACUAAUUCACGAGUGCUCAGCCAUGCUCUGUUUCAAUUUUCAAAUCAAAAGUGUGUUAAAUUUCCAUUCCAAUUAAGAGAUAUUUGCAUGGAUAUGCAUAACCAAUUGGUAUAUGUAUGACAAGAGAAAAACAAAUCAUAUUGUUUGAUUCAUAUAGCUGAAUUGCUUUGGAGGGAAGUAUUCUGGUGACUCUGUAAUCUGCCUGUGAACAUGUUGUUUAGUUAUGGAUAUUUACUCAGAUGCGGUAGUACCCUAGCUAGGAGAUAAAAAAGGGAAGAGAUCAGGGCAUAUGCUGCAUUCUUUGAUGGAUUUGACAUUAAGUUGGGCCUAUAAAGAUGAAGUAAUCAUUGAACUAUCACACAUGUUGCAAGGUGCUAUAUUAUCCCAUGGAGUCAGGUACGCAAGCUAUAGGCAGAGGACAUAGACUCAUAAUGAAAUAAUCUUUGUGAUAACAUUAUUUGAGAGAGAGAACAAAGUUUAGUGAACAAUAACAGGGUGCAAUCAUCAAGUGUGCUUAUGCACCGCUCUGCAUGCAGCAAUAAAAUGUAUUGAUUAUUCAGCUCAAUCGAUUCUUGUUUUGUUACGGAACAAUAACAAUAGCUGCGAAGGAUCAUAAUUUGUAUGUACCUCUGGAUUUCAUAUACUGUUGUUGACAUUGACACUGAACUAUGU
Molecule: long non-coding RNA, 1556 nt
Organism: Triticum aestivum (bread wheat)
Lineage: Eukaryota; Viridiplantae; Streptophyta; Magnoliopsida; Poales; Poaceae
Exons: 3
Source: RefSeq, a predicted model, not a curated record